AGUUUGUGCGUGAAUCUA
Molecule: small nuclear RNA, 18 nt
Filed under: Arabidopsis thaliana (thale cress)
Lineage: Eukaryota; Viridiplantae; Streptophyta; Magnoliopsida; Brassicales; Brassicaceae
Description: snRNA_00021
Source: RNAcentral